CUAAGAAUCUUCCACAAUGGACGGAAGUCUGAUGGAGCGACGCCGCGUGGACGAUGAAGGCCGUGGGGUUGUAAAGUCCUUUUCGGGAGGGGGAAUAACCGCGGGAGGGAAUGCCCGCGGGAUGACGUGAAUCCCGGAAUAAGCCCCGGCUAAUUACGUGCCAGCAGCCGCGGUAACACGUAAGUUGCGAGCGUUGUUCGGAAUUAUUGGGCGUAAAGGGUAUGUAGGCGGUUCUGCAAGUCUGGUGUGAAAUGCCGGGGCUCAACCCCGGAACUGCGUUGGAAACUGCAGGACUUGAAUCGCUGAGGGGCAGCCAGAAUUCCAGGUGUAGGGGUGAAAUCUGUAGAUAUCUGGAAGAAUACCAAUGGCGAAGGCAGGCUGCCAGCAGAUGAUUGACGCUGAGGUACGAAGGUGCGGGGAGCAAACAGGAUUAGA
RNAcentral lists this ribosomal RNA (435 nucleotides) under uncultured Treponema sp. RNAcentral describes it as "bacterial SSU rRNA". It matches the Rfam family "Bacterial small subunit ribosomal RNA", at positions 355 to 782 of the family's 1533-position model. Lineage: Bacteria; Pseudomonadati; Spirochaetota; Spirochaetia; Treponematales; Treponemataceae. The record is from RNAcentral.